Long non-coding RNA from Aethalodelphis obliquidens (Pacific white-sided dolphin), 888 nucleotides. RefSeq lists it as uncharacterized. The record is from RefSeq and is a predicted model, not a curated record. Lineage: Eukaryota; Metazoa; Chordata; Mammalia; Artiodactyla; Delphinidae. The transcript has 2 exons.
GGCUCAACCCGCCACCAGGCCUGCUUGGGAGCCGUGCACCCCACACUGUGAGGUUUGCACAUUGAUCCCCCAACUCAUUGAGGGAGGGCCUGAUGGUGUCGGUUUCCCACCACUUCCUGCUCAGGCUGCACUGGAGGCCCCAGCGGGUCCUGGAGGCGGGACCCUACCCGUGCCAGGGCUGCCCAGCUGCAGUUGAAUCAGAGCGAGCUGCGGGCAUGGGGCCUGGGGCACUCUACGUGGCUGCUGGAGUCUGAGUCACCACGCAGGCCACUGUGAGCGGAGGAUUAUGGGGGAAGAGACACACCCGGAGAUCUGGGUUAGCUGACCCCGCCCUUCCUGCUUAUGCCCGUGGAGCUUGGUGUCGUUGGAGGCUGGCAUUCUGGGCGGCUCAGCCUUCCCACCCACCACUCUCUUCUGCCCCCGGCCCCCGGUAUUAGGUGUGCCAGUAGCUGGCACAAGAGCCACGAGCCCUGCUCCCACAGCUGACUUCUGCCACCGGGGAGGAGGGCGGCCCCCUGGUGGAGCAGGUGGAGGGAGGCCGUGUGGGGCCCUCCUGCACGGCGGUCAUUCCUGCCCCUGCCUUCUGUCCGCAUCCGGCAGGGACCCAGGUGAGGGACCCAGGGAGGUUUGGGCAUGGAAAGGCCUCUUGGGGGAUAACCUCAGCUUGAAAGGAGAGGGCGAGAAUCCAGCCUGUCAGAAAGCCAAGAAAGAAGCAACUGAGCUAAAAAUAGGAGCAUUGAACAGAAUGUCCGGAAAUGCCAUCCACAGUGCCAGAUUCUUCCAGCUGGGGAGUGGCGGAUUCCUCCGACUUUCAGCGUACUUCAUCAAAGGUACCACGCCAAUAAGGAGGGGAAAAACAGUGCUAGUAGCAAUCAUCGUCAUGGCAAG